UACGGAGGGUGCAAGCGUUGUUCGGAAUUAUUGGGCGUAAAGGGCGUGUAGGUGGCUCCCCAAGUCUGGUGUGAAAGCCCACGGCUCAACCGUGGAACUGCAUUGGAAACUGGGGAGCUCGAGUGUUGGAGGGGGUCGCGGAAUUCCCGGUGUAGAGGUGAAAUUCGUAGAUAUCGGGAGGAACACCAGUGGCGAAGGCGACUACCUGGCCUGUUCUUGACGCUGAGGCGCGAAAGCUAGGGGAGCAAACGGG
This 253-nucleotide ribosomal RNA is filed under the name uncultured bacterium. Its description in RNAcentral is "partial 16S ribosomal RNA". It matches the Rfam family "Bacterial small subunit ribosomal RNA", at positions 524 to 776 of the family's 1533-position model. The record is from RNAcentral.